UCUCAAAAAAAAAAAAAAAAAGAAAAGAAAAGAAGAAAAGACAAGACAAAUUAGCCUAGAAUAUGAAAUCCGUGUUAGAACAGAAGAUUAGAUUGCAUAUGCAACACUUUUUAAGUGUUAAAAAUGGAAACACGGACACAUGAGGCUGGUUAAGGAUUUUUUGUAAUCCAUCAUAUUUUAUUGAACAUCUGUAUGUUCAAAUGAACAUGUAUUUUAUUGAACAUAUUUUAUUGAACACCUAAAGCAUAUUUUAGCAUUCAGGGUUAUAUACAAUAUAGUUUCUUUCUCUCAAGUUGGGAAAAAGAAUAAUAGAAGGAUAUUUUAUGCAAGAUUGAGGACUAUUAAUUUAUUUCGUGUGAAUAAAUGUUUAUUGAACAAUGAAACUUGUUUCUUGCCCUUGAGCUUACAGCCAUUUAAGACACCUGUGACAGGUGCCAGCCACUAAGGACUCUCUCUGUAUCCCUUGCCAACAAGAUUAGAGUGUGGUCUGAACGUGAUUGGAACGACUGAAGGCUUCCAAAAGCAAAAGGAGAAACAUGUUUAAAUUUAUGUUUUAGAUUUACUGUGGUGACUUCAUAAAAAUGGAUUUGAGGAGAUGGGUUAGGAGACUAUUCUAGUAAUCUGAGAAAAUAUCAUGACCUGAACCAGGGUGUAACUUGGAAAUUUAGUUAACUGAUUUAAAAUGUCUUUUAGAGAUAUUUCUAAAACCUUGGGAUUUUUUUUCUAUUAAUGUAUUAGUAUCAGUUGCUUGAAAAAUUAAAGGAUAUGUAGUUUGUCUUUUCUAUCCAAAUACUUUUUAAUCAAAAAUCUUACAUGUUCUGAACAGCAUUCUCAUUAGUUUCAGUCUCACCACCUGAAAUGUCUUGGAAGUUCCCACGUUCAGCAACAGAAGGUCAGUACACAGAUGACUUCAAAAGGGCCAGCCUGCAAGGGCACUAACUUGGAAGAAAACAGACCUCCUUCCAUACUUCGUAAUUAGGUUUGUUUUCUAGCUGAACUUGACAACAUUUCCAACAGGCAAAAUUAUGAGUUGUCCCUGGAGAAGUGCUUCAUCUCAGACUCAGGUUAUAGUACAAGAGAGACAUAAUGAAACCAGAAAAAAAAAAAAAGUAGAGACAGCCAAAUAAAAAGAUCUUUGACAAAAAGGGACUCUUGUGACACAGGAUGCUUUUAAUACCAGAAAUGUGAAGUCUCAUUUUGCGUAGUUUGUACUGGAAUUUUCAACAAGAGGUGACAGAGUAUGUGAAAACGUUGUUUUAUCUGUUUUGGGUUCUGGGUUAAUGGUAAGGAAGGAUCUGCUUCAGGCCUGUGAAGUUGUUGCCAUCGCUAUGAAACAAAUGGGUAAAUUAAUUGAGUAAUUCAGCAAAUAAUGAAAAAUUGCCUAAUGAUCGUUUCAUUUUCUUUCCUGAGUUAUUUUACUCUUCUUUCUAGAGCUAUUUUCCUUGUACUUGGUAAUACUACUUUGCAGCAAAAAUAGAGUAACUCUUAAGUUAACCUUAACACUUCAAUAUGGUUUGAAAGUCAGAAGGAAGAAGGGAGGAGGGUCAUUCAAGUAGUUCAAAUAGGUAGAAGAAAAUUUCUGCAGUAAGGCCCUUUUGAUAAGGCCAAUAAACAAGUAACAGGUUUCUUGGAUUAUUAUAUAUUAGAAGCAGCAAAUUAGGAGCUGAGAGCAUACAUACUGAAAGUGGCAGAAUAGGAUAUUAAAACCCUUACAAGUAGACAUAAGCACUUAGCACAGCAAUUGGAGAGCUAUCUGUUACCCAGGCAAAGGAUUCUAUAAACCUCAUUAGCUCCCCAAUGGCACCUCUGUGUUUACAACCAAGUACGAAAAUUAGGGCUCAUAAUGAUGACCCUGGGAAGGUGUAAUUACAUUUAUCUCAUGCUAUACAAAAAGACAGAGAAGAAUAAGAUUUCUCUUUGAAUGGUAAAGAUAAAAGUUUGGGCAGGUACAUGAAUAAAUUUUGUGAAUUUGGAAAACUGACUUUCAUUUAUUCAACUAAUAUUUUCUGAGCACGUCCUAUGCUCUAGAUAGUUUCUAAGUGCUGGAGAUAUAAAAAACAGAUACAAUCCUUGCCUUCAUAGAAUGUACAGAAUAGUAGGUGAAUUGGACAUAAAUCACAUAGUGUAAAUUACCACCAUGGUAAGUGCUGCUCUGGGAGGACAGAACAUAUUGUAACGUCACGUUUAUGGCUGAUAGGGCUGGUGGGGGAAUGUAACUUAAAUCCCCAACCAAAUAAUUUAGACUUACCAAAACAGAGUGUGACUUGAGACCCGGUUGCUUUGAGAUGAGCUUUGCAUACUCCAGUGUCUCAAAUUCUCCAGCGGGAAGGACAGAGAAAUACCAACCAAGAGUGUCCAUUCCUCUUCUCUUCAGAAACACCUGGGGUGGGAAGUAUUGUAAAGGAGAAGUACAUAGUGCUGGGAGAAUUUAUAAUCCUGAUCAAGGUCUUUAGAAGCUAUAUUCUCUUUCUUUGCCUUGAUUUUUUCAUCUGUAAAAUAGGCAAACAGGGGUGACCUAUUAUAACUCACGAGUUUGUUGUGAGCUUCAAAUGAAGUAAUUGGUGAGAAGCGCUUAAGGAUGCAAUGAUUGGAAAUUGUAAGCCAUAUAAACCACUGCUGCUACAGUGGUGGUUGGUUGUUUAUUAUUAUUAUUACUAUGAAGCAAUGGUAUUUUUGUGUCAUGAGGUUGUAAGCUCAAUGAGUGCAGGAAAUUUGGUUCGCUCACUGCUAUAGCCCCAUUGGGGCAUGCGUAGGUGCUCAAUAAACAUUUGUUGAAUAAACGCUUUGGGAAAGUGAGUAGGGAAACAGUGUGCAAAUGUGCAUUCUUACUGGUGCAUUGACUGAGGCCAGUGUAUCUUGAGAGAACACUGAUUUUAUUGGGUAUGGAAUGAAUUAUGGGGAAAAUAAUACUAGACAUACAUAAUUUUACAAUUUGAAAAAUUUUAGGGAUUAUCUAAUCCAAGAUUCUAUAGUGGUAAGCAAACAUGACCCAACAGAAGAGGUGAAAGGAGAUGUCAUUUGAAGAUAGAGUAUUCCCUUUUUCUAUUCUUUAAUUUGUUUUCAGACAUGGUAUCUAUUUGGGAUUUCAAAUUAUACCGGAGGAACAUUUCGGGGUGCUGGUGAGAAGCAUGGGUUAAGAAAAGGUGAAAAACUCUGAUUUAAAAUAACAUGCCAGUUGGAAGGUGAUGCAAUAAAAAAGUGGAAAUUUGUACAAAAAUAUAUAUAAAAUGCAGGAAAAUUAAAUUACAGUAAUAUAGUUAUUUUUCACUCAUUCCUGUUUCAGAAGCCAUUUGUUCUCCUACCUGUGUUCUAGCUUAAAUAUGCUUUGCAUUGCUUUUCUUACGUGGCUUCACAGCAGAAUUUGACCCUUAGGUCUACUUCCUGGUUGUUCAGAGCCUUCUUGCCUUCCACUGUACCACAUUGUCUGGCUUUAUUGGCUUAUUCCAUGUUUUCAGCUCUUCCUUGUCAUACCACUCCACGUGUUGAACCCCACAACUGUAUCAGAGACAAACUCUCAUUAGUGCUUCUUUUUACUCUUCCAAACUUCAGUUACUGCCCUAUCAGUGCUGCCCCAUAGAAAGGUAAUGUGAGUCAUAAUGCAAACUUGACAUGUAAUUGUAAGUUUUCUAGUAGCCACAUUACAAAAGUGAAAAAGAGAAGAAAUUAAUUUUUAUAAUUUGUUUAGCCUGAUAUAUCAAAAUAUUAUUUCAACAUAUCAGUAUAAAAAUUGAGAUCUUACAUUCCCUUUCAUACUGUCUUGGAAAUGUAGCAUGUAUCUUAUUUAUAGUACAUGUCACUUUGCCCUUGCUGUGUCCCAGGUGCUCCAUAGACAACAUGUGACUAGUGGCUACCACAAUGGAACCUGUAUGUCUGUAGGCUCACAAAUACCAAUUAUUUGUCUUUAGUCCAGGCUCUAAACCCAUGAUCCAGUUUCCUAGGAAGCACUUUAGACUCGGCCUGUCUACAACUAAGCAUAUUCUCUUCCCUUUCUUCCCCCACCCUGCUUAGCCUCCAGUGUUUGCAUCCCAUGAAAGAUGCCUUCAUCUACCAAGGAUCUGUUCACAGUUCCCCAUCAUUGCCAGUUCCAUGGGCCAUGUCACCACCAUUUUCUAUCUGGGCUAUGUUGAUAGCCUCCUAACUGCUCUUUCUGCCUUCAUUCUUGCCAUAACACCAUGUUGCUUACAAUUCCUACAUUGUUCUGAUAGUCCCCCCAAGAUUUUUUCAUAGUUUCCAUUGCCUUUGGUAUAAAGUCCAAACAUGCCUUAUUGUAUCCAUCAAGGGUCACUUCCCUGUCUGCCUUCCGGGGCUUCACCCUCCCUUCUCUCCAUUUCAGCCAUCUUGGCUUUCCUUCACUUCUCACUCUCACUAUUGUCUACCUGGAGCAUUCUACCCUCUCCUCUUAUGUAGCUAAGUUCAUUUUGUCCCUCAGAUGGUUUUGGUAGAGCAGUCUUUCACUGCCCUUGGCCUAGGUCAGUGUCCUCUCAUCCUCCGUAGCUCUCAUCACUUGUAAAACCUUGUAUUUGUCUUCUUUACUGGACUGUAACCUCUGAGAAGGGAGGGACUGGGUCCAACUUUUGCUCUGCCAUAUAUGUAGUGUGUAGUAAGGUACCUGGCCUGUAGUCAGUAUUUCAUGAAUAUUUAGAGGGAUGAAUGAAUGAAGACAUCCAGAAAGAACACAGUAUUAAAGUCCUCAGGUUUAAUUAACCUUUACCCCAGCAUAUGAAUAACCUUUGGAACAUCCCAGCCUCUGCUUGAAUACCUAGUGAUAGAAAGUUUACCAACUAGAAGAACAUUUCUUCUUUUGAACAAGUCAUGAUUAAAAAGCUAUUUCAUUAUAUAUAGGAAUUAUGUCUUAUGUAAGAAAAUGGUUUGUAAACUUUAAAGGAUUACCCCCCUCAAAAAUAAAUCCACAUGAUAGAGUUUGUAUUAUUCUAAGUAUUCCGUUUUAACUUAUCAUUGUUGAGCUUGGUUACUAGAUGCAUCAUGAAUUUUAUUUUUCAUUGAAAAACAAUGUAUAUUUUUUCACUCCUGCCAAUUAUUGUCUACAAUAAAGAAAUACAACAUUGCCACCUCAUUUUCAUUUUCUAUCUUGUUUACAUGGGUCUGUGUUUAUAUGCGUUCAUGUGCACGUGUGUAUAUGUAUUGUCUCUCUCUCACAUUAAAAAAAUCUAACUAAAAUAUCCAGUGUUUUCCAUUAGGUCUCAUUUGUUACACAUUUCUACUUUUAAAUUACUUCUGAACCACAGAAUCUGGCAGGCCUUUUUGGAAGGCAUUUGAGGAUAACUACUCUAUCUGGAAUCCAGCCAUUUACAGUAUUUGGAAGCAAAGAACAAAGCAAAGCAAAUUGAGAUUUUGUUGAGUGUUUAAAAGUUUUGGAAAGAACAGUUAAAAAGAAAUCCUCCAUGGGUAGAUGUUUUGAAAACACCAAGUUUUCUCAACCUUUAAUUUUGUGCAUCUGAAAACCAACUUGAAUUUGUCUUUAAUCUCCUGCUAGUCAGUGGAAAGUAAACAAGCAGAAUUGCUAAUCCUAUAUGGCCUUGGAAUAAUGUUUAAAGGAACAGGAUAGUUUAAUGGAUGAAUCACUCUUCUUUACACUAUUAGAUUCAAAUGCAGCAGAGAUGCAAUACUUGAUAAUAUGUGUCAUUCCCGUUCUUUCUCAGGAUAAUUCACAUGUAAUUGUCUGAUUUUUAGAAUGUCUGAAACCUCUUGAUAAUGUUAAGCAUAUUGAGCAAGAGUGGUAAUGUUGACCUCACACUAAUAAUAGAGAGGCAGUGGAGGUAAACAGAUGUGGACUCUCAAGUCCUGGCUGCUGUGGGCCGUAUUCCAGCUCCUGCUAAUAGCAGCUAACAUUUAUUGAGUGCUGACCAGGUGCCAAACAAUGUACUGGGUGAUUUAGGUAUGUUUUCUCAUUCAACUUUGAGGACAAUAGUGGUAUCUCCCUUUUAUAAAUUUCAGAGGUUGAGUAACUUGCCAAGUUUACGUAGCUGCCAGUGGAGUUUGAACUUCAUUCCUGAUGUUUAGCUUUAACGCUCAUGCUUUUUUCAGCCAUCCUGUCUCUAUGUUGUUUAGAUUUAUUAUCUUUGUCGUUACUUAUAAUUCCAGUAUUUCACUAUGUUAGAUAUACUUCUAAUCAUGUUUUAGUUGACCUGAAUAUAAGGAAUACAUUUUGAGUAUUUUCAGGAAGUUUAAAAAACUCUAGCUAUUAAUAUUUCUGAAAAUAUAAACCUGCAAAUGGCCAUUUAUGUUACUUUAGAGAGAAAGUGGGUAGAAGUUUCUCUUCCUUGUUGUAGUAAGUCAGUCCUAAAAAGAUGAAUAAGGACUUUAGAACCAUUCUUUACAUUUUGAAUAAAACAUGUGUCUAUCCCCCUUUCUCUAGAUAUAGCUUAUGCGGUAGUUGCCAUUCAGCAAUUAAUUUAAAGCUAUGUCAGGAAUUGUCACCAACGUUAGUCCUACUUAUUAUCCUCGAAGGUCAACAAACAGUAAUGCAACUGGCCUCAAAUUUUUUUUAGUUGAACCGUGGAACACUCUGCAACCUGUCUUUCUAUGGAGCAGUUGUAAUUUAACCCCAAGAUUCUGAAUGUCCAGACCUCAAAAGGAGAAUAGUACUUAUUACAUCUUCUUUUUCCUUUGCAAUUUUUUUCGAGUGUGUGUGUGUGCAUGUGAGUUUGUCACUGAGUGGCUCUUGCUACCUAAUCUGACCUUUUAAACUUUCUCAUAUACCUUUAAAAUGAUUCUUAGGGGGAAUUUAAUUUGCCAUUUAGAGGAAGUUUUAGUUCUAGUUUCAGAAAACAUAGGUUGGAAUUGUCUGCAAAUCACAAUGAGAAAUCCAGGCUUCAUAACCUCCAACCCCACUUCAGACAUUGAUUUAAAAGAAUGAACCUAAUAAUAAUGAAUCCCAGGGACCAAAAGCAGGCCAGUCAGAAUGGGUGUUCAGGGGAACAGGUUAACCAGUAUUCUGACCUCUCUCCCCUUGAAGCUUAAGUAAGUUAAAAAAAAAAAAAAAGAAAAAGGUGGGGGAGUGGGGGGCGGAUAUCCCACUGCUGCCUUAGGACUUGAAUCUAUGAGAUGUAGAGAGCCUGUGUUUGGGCUAAAAUAAAGGGUUAAACCCUCUUACUUAACAGUUCUUUCAAUGGCACAGAAAGUGAACUU
Long non-coding RNA from Cercocebus atys (sooty mangabey), 7149 nucleotides. RefSeq lists it as uncharacterized. The transcript has 2 exons. The record is from RefSeq and is a predicted model, not a curated record. Lineage: Eukaryota; Metazoa; Chordata; Mammalia; Primates; Cercopithecidae.